Molecule: non-coding RNA, 1232 nt
Organism: Arachis ipaensis
Lineage: Eukaryota; Viridiplantae; Streptophyta; Magnoliopsida; Fabales; Fabaceae
Source: RefSeq, a predicted model, not a curated record
CAGUAAUUUCCUUCCCCAAAACCCACUACUCGGCAACUUCAGGAAAAUCAAAGAAAUAAAUAAAGCAAAGAAAGAAAAGAAAGAAAGGGAAGAACGGAGAGGGUGAGAAAAGGGGAAGAAGGAAACAGAUCCGCAGAGGAGGAGGAACGGGGAAGAGAGAGAUCUGAAGGGAGAGGAAGACCGUGACUGGCGCUGCCGCCACCUCGCCCAGCUGCUGUGCUUCUCGUUGUUGCCGCCGAAGGGAAGAUGGAGAGAGAGCGCCGUCGAACAGAACGCGAGAAGGGAGAGGAGCUGUGUUCUGUUGUUGACGUCGCACCACCGCCACGCCGCCGUGCUGUGCGAAGUCACCGCCGUCGCCGUCGAGGGUCCAUCCACGCCGUCGCUGGAGCCUGAACGCCGCUGCAACCACUGCGUGUUAUCAUCAGAUCCCGCCACCGUUUGAGUUGCAAACAGGGGAACGCGCGCGAAGGGAACUGUCGCGGAGCUGCCGUCGCCGUCGCGUUGAUGGGCUUGCCGUCGUUCUACUCGUGUGGUUACUGCGUUGCCAGAGCUCCUCGUCGCUGCUGAUGGCACCGGAAACUGCCUUUUAAGCCUGUAUCUGUUGGGAGGAGUCCGAUCAAGAAAAGGAAAAUGGUGGCGAUGGAUACCUCCGCUGCUGCUGUUACUAUCAGUGUUCCGGAGCUUGUAGUUACUGCCGUUUUUGGGUGAUGAACCUGGUUGUGUCCUUGCUGCUAAUUGAUUGUAAUGAGAGACGUUGUAGCCACUACUUUUCAUCUUGGUAAGUUCAUGGGUAAGAUCGCUUUGAUUCUUCUUUGUGCCGUUUUAUUUACGCAGCUAGUUCUGAUCCGUGUAAUUUACCAGAGUCACUAUUGUCAUAUCUCGGCGUUGCCACCCUUGUUUGGAACUACUGAAUGUUGUUGUCUCCGCUAGCAGUAUUCUUCCUAUUUUGAUUUCAACUCCUUUAAUUCUGAAAUUUAUAAUGAUUCUACCUUUAUCCUACUGCUAUUUGGUUUUCUUGCACCACCCUUACUCUAAUCACAGAAAUAUGUUUCAGUUCUAGCCAAUGUCGAUUUAUCUAUUGCAAAGUCAUAAUUGAUAAUAGAGCUGCUAAGAUCGCUACUGCCGCCAUGAAUUGGGGAUAAAGGGGAAUAUUGAGUUAAAUUCUGCGAUUGAAACAUCGAGCUUUAUUUUUUCAGGAACCGGAUGGAGAAGCAUUAGGAAGAGUUAUACUG